UACGGAGGUGGCCAGCGUUGUUCGGAAUUACUGGGCGUAAAGGGCGCGUAGGCGGCCUGCUAAGUCGGCUGUGAAAUCCCUCGGCUCAACCGAGGAACUGCAUCCGAUACUGGCGGGCUUGAAUCCGGGAGAGGGAUGUGGAAUUCCAGGUGUAGCGGUGAAAUGCGUAGAUAUCUGGAGGAACACCGGUGGCGAAGGCGGCAUCCUGGACCGGUAUUGACACUGAGGCGCGAAAGCUAGGGGAGCAAACGGG
Molecule: ribosomal RNA, 253 nt
Filed under: uncultured bacterium
Lineage: Bacteria
Description: partial 16S ribosomal RNA
Rfam family: Bacterial small subunit ribosomal RNA
Source: RNAcentral